GUGGGGAAUAUUGCACAAUGGGGGAAACCCUGAUGCAGCGACGCCGCGUGAGUGAAGAAGUAUCUCGGUAUGUAAAGCUCUAUCAGCAGGGAAGAAAAUGACGGUACCUGACUAAGAAGCCCCGGCUAACUACGUGCCAGCAGCCGCGGUAAUACGUAGGGGGCAAGCGUUAUCCGGAUUUACUGGGUGUAAAGGGUGCGUAGACGGUUGUGUAAGUCUGAAGUGAAAGGCGGGGGCUCAACUCCCGGACUGCUUUGGAAACUAUAUAACUAGAGUGCAGGAGGGGUAAGCGGAAUUCCUGGUGUAGCGGUGAAAUGCUUAGAUAUCAGGAGGAACACCGGCGGCGAAGGCGGCUUACUGGACUGUAACUGACGUUGAGGCACGAAAGCGUGGGGAGCAAACAGG
This 405-nucleotide ribosomal RNA is filed under the name uncultured rumen bacterium. RNAcentral's name for it is "bacterial SSU rRNA". It matches the Rfam family "Bacterial small subunit ribosomal RNA", at positions 354 to 776 of the family's 1533-position model. The record is from RNAcentral.